AUACAGAGGGCGCGAGCGUUAAUCGGAUUUACUGGGCGUAAAGCGCGCGUAGGUGGUUAAUUAAGUCAAAUGUGAAAUCCCCGAGCUUAACUUGGGAAUUGCAUUCGAUACUGGUUAGCUAGAGUAUGGGAGAGGAUGGUAGAAUUCCAGGUGUAGCGGUGAUAUGCUUAGAGAUCUGGAGGAAUACCGAUGGCGAAGGCAGCCAUCUGGCCUAAUACUGACACUGAGGUGCGAAGGCAUGGGGAGCAAACAGGAUUAGAUACCCUGGUAGUCCAUGCCGUAAACGAUGUCUACUAGCCGUUGGGGGAUUUGAUCCUUUAGUGGCGCAGCUAACGCGAUAAGUAGACCGCCUGGGGAGUACGGUCGCAAGACUAAAACUCAAAUGAAUUGACGGGG
RNAcentral lists this ribosomal RNA (396 nucleotides) under uncultured bacterium. RNAcentral describes it as "partial 16S ribosomal RNA". It matches the Rfam family "Bacterial small subunit ribosomal RNA", at positions 523 to 918 of the family's 1533-position model. The record is from RNAcentral.